Molecule: long non-coding RNA, 301 nt
Organism: Solanum tuberosum (potato)
Lineage: Eukaryota; Viridiplantae; Streptophyta; Magnoliopsida; Solanales; Solanaceae
Exons: 2
Source: RefSeq, a predicted model, not a curated record
ACAGAUGUCGUUUCAAUUCCGAAGACUAAUGAGAACUUCCGUCUCCUUUAUGACACUAAGGGCCGAUUCCGUCUUCACUCGCUCAGGGACGAGGAGUCAAAGUUUAAGCUUUGCAAGGUCCGCUCUGUGCAGUUUGGUCAGAAGGGGAUCCCAUACCUGAACACUUACGAUGGAAGAACAAUCCGCUAUCCUGAUCCUCUCAUCAAGGCCAACGAUACUAUAAAGCUGGACUUGGAAUCCAAUAAGAUUGUUGAUUUCAUCAAGUUUGACGUUGGGAAUGUUGUGAUGGUGACUGGAGGUA